This 83-nucleotide transfer RNA is filed under the name Caudoviricetes sp. RNAcentral's name for it is "tRNA-Ser". The record is from RNAcentral. Lineage: Duplodnaviria; Heunggongvirae; Uroviricota; Caudoviricetes.
GCCGCUAAUCCGGCUGGAUGAGGAAACCGCCUUGAAAGCGGCUGGCUGUAAAAGGCUUUGGGGUUCGAGUCCCUAUGGCGGCG